RNAcentral lists this ribosomal RNA (393 nucleotides) under uncultured bacterium. RNAcentral's name for it is "partial 16S ribosomal RNA". It matches the Rfam family "Bacterial small subunit ribosomal RNA", at positions 523 to 918 of the family's 1533-position model. The record is from RNAcentral.
AUACGGAGGAUCCGAGCGUUAUCCGGAUUUAUUGGGUUUAAAGGGAGCGUAGGUGGAUUGUUAAGUCAGUUGUGAAAGUUUGCGGCUCAACCGUAAAAUUGCAGUUGAAACUGGCAGUCUUGAGUACAGUAGAGGCGGGUGGAAUUCGGUGGGUAACGGGGAAAUGCUUAGAUAUCACGAAGAACUCCGAUUGCGAAGGCAGCUCACUAGACUGUUACUGACACUGAUGCUCGAAAGUGUGGGUAUCAAACAGGAUUAGAUACCCUGGUAGUCCACACAGUAAACGAUGAAUACUCGCUGUUUGCGAUAUACAGUAAGCGGCCAAGCGAAAGCAUUAAGUAUUCCACCUGGGGAGUACGCCGGCAACGGUGAAACUCAAAUGAAUUGACGGGG